Molecule: long non-coding RNA, 231 nt
Filed under: Elaeis guineensis (African oil palm)
Lineage: Eukaryota; Viridiplantae; Streptophyta; Magnoliopsida; Arecales; Arecaceae
Description: long non-coding RNA (EGUI_LNC006990)
Source: RNAcentral
UACACCAAUAUAACAUAUUAAUAUAAUAUAAUUUCUAUUAUACAAUAUUAUUAUAUAUAACAAUAUAGUAUGAAAUAUUAUAGUAAAUCAUAUAUAUAUAUAUAUAUAUAUAUAUAUAUAUAUAUAUAUAUUCUAGGGAUGAGCAUCGGGGCGUUGCCAACUUAGCUCUCUUACGCUCUCCCAGCACGCCACAUGGUGUGUGUACAUCGACACCGAUGUAUUGUCCCUCAU